This 301-nucleotide ribosomal RNA is filed under the name uncultured bacterium. RNAcentral describes it as "partial 16S ribosomal RNA". It matches the Rfam family "Bacterial small subunit ribosomal RNA", at positions 509 to 809 of the family's 1533-position model. The record is from RNAcentral.
CAGUCGCCGCGGUAAUACAGAGGGUGCGAGCGUUAAUCGGAUUUACUGGGCGUAAAGCGUGCGUAGGCGGCUAAUUGAGUCGGAUGUGAAAUCCCCGAGCUUAACUUGGGAAUUGCAUUCGAUACUGGUUAGCUAGAGUGUGGGAGAGGAUGGUAGAAUUCCAGGUGUAGCGGUGAAAUGCGUAGAGAUCUGGAGGAAUACCGAUGGCAAAGGCAGCCAUCUGGCCUAACACUGACGCUGAGGUACGAAAGCAUGGGGAGCAAACAGGAUUAGAUACCCGAGUAGUCCCUGUCUCUUAUAU